AUAUGCACCAAGAUCAGAUUUGGACUGACAGUGUGAACAAGGUCUUACGCCGCAUUCACACGGGGCGUAAGCGUUGACGCUUCCCAUUCACUUUUAAUGGGUGACGUCAAGCGUUGGCGAACUGAAUUGUGGAUCCGUCGGCGCCGCGUCAGUGCCGUUGCUCAUGGCAGAAGUUGAACAUUUCUCAACUUUUCAAGCGGCAACGCGUGCGUCAGCCAAUCAUAUCGCCUUCUGCAAAUAACCUAGGCAGAGCCAGCCAAUUACGUUUAUGGAAGACCGGAGCUUGUGUUGCGGCCACAGUGAUUGGCUGUUGGACACGCUUCAGACAAGCCUUCCGUUAAGCGUUAACGCUGACGGACUGUGUGAAUGCGGCGUUAGUGUUGAUAGAGAGCCUGCAAAUAUCAUGGAACGUAAGUAAGACUAUUUAAGACCUGCAGAAACCCUUUAGGUUGUAAGCUAAAAUUUCAUAAUAAAUGUCCACAGACUUAUACUGGAAAAACAUUUAUGUUGUCAGUUUGCUGUAUCCAGAUCGACGUUGGAUUUUGAAUUCAGAUCAAUGUUGGAUUUUGAAGUCAGGCAAAGUUAGGUCUUGACGUCAGGCCAACGUUAGUCUUGACGUCAGAUCAAUGUUGGAUUUUGACAUCAGAUCAACGUUGGAUUUUUAAGACAGAUCAAAGUUGGAUUUUGACGAUACGCCAAAGUUCAGUCUUGAUGUCAGAUCAACGUUGAAUUUUGACAUCAGGCCAAGGUUGGAUUUAAAACGUCAAUACUUAAUGUUGGGCAGAUAUAAAGGUGAAUGAAGACCAAGGCCGUGAACAAACAUUUUGUGGGGCAGUGGUCAAACCAAAAAAGGGGCACAAAUGUAACGGGAGGAGAACACUGCCCGUCUGACAUCUUGUGAGGGUGGGUUAAUGUUUACCAGGUGUGCAUGUGUAUCUCCAAGCUUUUGUUCGCAGGUGUGUUCAAUGCUGCUGAUGAGCCAGGGUUGUAACGCGAUUGGAAGGUUCAUGGAAUAUAAGCACCAGCAUGCAUGCCUUUUGACAGAUUUUCCUGGACCCGGAGGGGAACUGCAACGAGAUAAGCUUGACCGCUGUUGUGCCGAUUGAUUGGGUAUUCGACUCCAUGCAGUGACGAUGAUCGACUCUGGGCAGCGAGAGGUCCAGGAGAGAAAAACAACGUGCGCUAUUCAUUCAUGUUGAGGGAAGUGUGAACUCUUCCCGGUUACGAGAGAGUGGGCACUGACGUGUAAUGAUUUGGGACUGAUUUCCCUUCCUCUGUUUCACAGAUCCGUUCUACAGUUCCGGUUUCUUUCGCUGGCCAUCGUUUCCGGGAGUUGCGUGUGUAUCGCUGUCAUCGCCUCAUCUGUAGCGCUUCCUUCUUCCCGCACUAUGGGCGCAAAGUGGGCCGGGUCGUGAGUAGGGUUGUAACGGUAUGAGAUUUCCACGCAACUCUUCGUCCACAUUUCUUGCAAACUGGAUAUCCAUCUUCAAGGACAACUCGGCAUUCGUUUUUCGUAUACCCAAAGUAUUCCCAUACUGUAGAUUUAAACUUUUUUUCUGGUGGGGGAUAGAGGAUAGAAUUUGUAGUCUCUGACAUUUCAUCUGCUGUACAUCAAUGAGUGGAGUCUAGCAGUCACGCCGAAUGAAGUUGCAUGUGCGUAGUAGCGCAGGUGAGAUCUGCUUUAUUUUUUCCAAAACCGUGCAGCAAAUGUUUACGGUAUGAUAACCGUAAAAGUUAAUAUCAAGGUGCGGUAUACCGUUACUAGUCGUGAGUGACGAAACUGUUGACUGUGUUUGACGAAACCCUGCUUUAUGCAUAAUAUGAUUGUGAUGUGUUACUUAUGUAAAUUCCUCUUGGUUUAGUGGGAUAUUGGCUGCUCGCCUGGGUUUGAUGUAUACUUGUGAAUGGGUUUUAGGGCUUCUGAUCAGACCAAUUUGGUUAUAUUAUUAUUUCUAAAUGUGUGGGGUUCAUUUUGUAGUAUUUACACUGAUUUUAAAUUUGAUAUUUGCCUUUGCUGUGUAAAUCUCACGUGUGACUGUGUGCUGUAUUAUAUGACUUUAUUGGCAUGAUUUGUGGUGUUAGCCCUUUUCAUUCACGGUCUAACCAGGGGGCGCCAGAUUGUGAUAUUAUUCCCUUGCCCUUGAAUUUAAAUAAUCAUAUCUAAUCUUUUUCCUUCGUUUUAAUUGUGUAUAUUACUGUUAGUUUUUUUUAAUUGUUGUAUCAAUAAAUUUUGUAAUUUUA
Non-coding RNA from Paramisgurnus dabryanus, 2241 nucleotides. Lineage: Eukaryota; Metazoa; Chordata; Actinopteri; Cypriniformes; Cobitidae. The record is from RefSeq and is a predicted model, not a curated record.